UGGGGAAUUUUUCGCAAUGGGGGAAACCCUGACGAAGCAAUGCCGCGUGGGUGAUGAAGUCUCUUGGGACGUAAAACCCUUUCGACGGGGACGAAACCGCAAGGUUGACGGUACCCGUAGAAGAAGCCCCGGCUAACUCCGUGCCAGCAGCCGCGGUAAUACGGGGGGGGCAAGCGUUGUUCGGAAUUACUGGGCGUAAAGGGUGCGUAGGCGGCUCUCUAAGUCGGAUGUGAAAACUCUGGGCUCAACCCAGAGACUGCAUCCGAAACUGGAGGGCUAGGGUUCUGGAGGGGAAAGCGGAAUUCCUGGUGUAGCGGUGAAAUGCGUAGAUAUCAGGAGGAACACCGGUGGCGAAGGCGGCUUUCUGGACAGACACCGACGCUGAGGCACGAAAGCUAGGGGAGCAAACAG
RNAcentral lists this ribosomal RNA (411 nucleotides) under uncultured bacterium. Its description in RNAcentral is "bacterial SSU rRNA". It matches the Rfam family "Bacterial small subunit ribosomal RNA", at positions 355 to 775 of the family's 1533-position model. The record is from RNAcentral.